This 467-nucleotide ribosomal RNA is filed under the name uncultured bacterium. Its description in RNAcentral is "partial 16S ribosomal RNA". It matches the Rfam family "Bacterial small subunit ribosomal RNA", at positions 28 to 507 of the family's 1533-position model. The record is from RNAcentral.
GACGAACGCUGGCGGCGUGCUUAACACAUGCAAGUCGAACGAUGACGACCGAGCUUGCUCGGUCUGAUUAGUGGCGAACGGGUGAGUAACACGUGAGCAACCUGCCCUUCACUCUGGGAUAACCUCGGGAAAUCGGGGCUAAUACCGGAUAUGAGCUCCUGUCGCAUGGCGGGUGUUGGAAAGUUUUUCGGUGAAGGAUGGGCUCGCGGCCUAUCUGUUUGUUGGUGAGGUAGUGGCUCACCAAGGCGAUGACGGGUAGCCGGCCUGAGAGGGCGACCGGCCACACUGGGACUGAGACACGGCCCAGACUCCUACGGGAGGCAGCAGUGGGGAAUAUUGCACAAUGGGCGGAAGCCUGAUGCAGCGACGCCGCGUGUGGGAUGACGGCCUUCGGGUUGUAAACCUCUUUCAGCAGGGAAGAAGCGAAAGUGACGGUACCUGCAGAAGAAGCGCCGGCUAACUACGUG